RNAcentral lists this ribosomal RNA (430 nucleotides) under uncultured bacterium. Its description in RNAcentral is "partial 16S ribosomal RNA". It matches the Rfam family "Bacterial small subunit ribosomal RNA", at positions 355 to 776 of the family's 1533-position model. The record is from RNAcentral.
UAGGGAAUAUUGCGCAAUGGGCGAAAGCCUGACGCAGCAACGCCGCGUGAGUGAGGAAGGUCUUCGGAUUGUAAAGCUCUGUCGGAAGGGAAAAACGGCGUGUGGUCGAACAGGCCAUACGAGUGAUGGUACCUUCAAAGGAAGCACCGGCUAACUUCGUGCCAGCAGCCGCGGUAAUACGAAGGGUGCAAGCGUUGUUCGGAUUUAUUGGGCGUAAAGCGCGCGCAGGCGGAUGACUAAGUCAGAUGUGAAAUCUCGGGGCUUAACCCCGAAACUGCGUCUGAAACUAUUUGUCUAGAAUGUUGGAGAGGGAAGGGGAAUUUCGCAUGUAGGGGUAAAAUCCGUAGAUAUGCGAAGGAACACCAGAGGCGAGAGCGCCUUCCUGGACAACUAUUGACGCUGAGGCGCGAAAGCGUGGGGAGCAAACAGG